UGAGGAGUGGUCUCUCUCUCUCUCUGCUGGACUUUGUCAAAACUCAAAAGUGUUGGAAAAAAACAAAGUUUAGAACCAAAUUUUACAGAAAUGCUUCAUGCCUGAUCCUUUCUGAUCAGUUUUUCAAGAGGAUUAUGGAGAUUUAUGAGGAAUAAUUAGAAGAUGAAGACUAUCAGGAUGAUUUUAAAAAUCUCCAUCACCAGUGGGCAUUCAUGAGCCAGAAAGAACCCAGAUUGGCUUCAGAUUCCAGAAAGUUUACAAGCAGUUUAUUGUGAGCCCUGCAAACUGAAGAAAUUUGACGUAGACGUAAUGACAAGCAUGGACUCUCACUACCAAGCCCCACCUCAAAAGUCAACACUUGCCUCCCCCAACUCCACCUUGCUGGUAACAUUGUUACAAGUGCCUGACGGAGAGGGAAGUAGUUUCAUUGAAAUUUGACAUCAGUUUCCAUGACAGCAGAAUGAUGUCAAUCACACAUGUGCAGGAUGUACGAGAAAAACAGUGGAGAGGGUGGAAGUGAGGAGAGUACUUCCUGGCUAAAAUGAAAACAAGAGUACUGUGACAUGAUCAAGCAACACAGAGACUGGCAGGAGAAACAUCUUCAGCCAAAUGAGAUCUGGUGCAGAUAGCAUGCAAAAGGAUUAAAAGGAAACAGACAUGAGG
Mauremys mutica (yellowpond turtle) is the source of this 663-nucleotide long non-coding RNA. RefSeq lists it as uncharacterized. NCBI's taxonomy places the organism in Eukaryota, Metazoa, Chordata, Testudines, Geoemydidae. The transcript is spliced from 4 exons. The record is from RefSeq and is a predicted model, not a curated record.